RNAcentral lists this long non-coding RNA (1077 nucleotides) under Felis catus (domestic cat). RNAcentral describes it as "lncRNA (ENSFCAG00000043218.2)". The record is from RNAcentral. Lineage: Eukaryota; Metazoa; Chordata; Mammalia; Carnivora; Felidae.
CAUUCCAGGGUCAACAAAACAGUGAAACUCAGUGGCAAGGCUGCCAGAAAUAGCAUCACCUGUUGGUGGAAGAUUUUGAUGUCAGUGAUGCCCAAUGUCUCGGGUUCUUUACUUUUACAUAAUUGACAGAUGGCUGAGUUACAACAUUCUACAACGUCUUGAGGCACCUCUGAGAUACAGAUGUGUAUUCAUAAUACAUCUUCAUCUAGAAGAGUAACUGACUGUAGACUGCAGUCGGUAACCAGUGUCCCGAGAUAAGAAGCAGAGAGCUAAAGGUCCUAUCCCAGCAUGGGCUCCGGGAUGUCCAGUUGCGGGCUCUAUCUACGUGUUCUGUGCCAAGCGUGCCAUGGGAAUAGUUGGCCUUUGUCAUGGGCUAAAUUAUAUACUUUUACACCUGGUAGCAUUUGCACUUGUUGUUAGUUCUGGAAACAAAGAAAGAGGGAAAUAUAGGGUGGUCUAGCUGGUAACGGGGCAAAUUGGGCCCUGAGCUCCCAUAAGCAAACUCAAGUAAAUAUCUGAAGUAUCGCCUUUUCUUUUUGAACCAAAUGCAAUUAGAUAGCUCCCAAAUGGGUGAGAGGUGUUUUCUCUACAUUUUGCUCUAUAACCAGAGCAAGCCAUUGCCUCUAAAUUUACAGUAUGGAAUAGAAAUAGGGCACAAGGGGAACUCAAAUGACAUGGGUUUGGUGAAAAUCUGGAACUCGGCUUGGGUUGGGGAAGGCACUCAAAUCUCAUCUUGUUGGUUGCAGCUUGGUCCAAGACCUUGCACGAAUAGGCUGAGGCUUCAGGCAAUAGGAGCACUGGGGACUGAGUCGUGUCCUCCCAUAUCCGCACAUGAAGUUGACAAGAGACUCUCCAUGGCAUCAAGCUGUAUGUUUCUCGGGGCCCUGUCCUGCUUACUCUGCCUAUGUCUUCUCCCUGAGAAAACAAGUUCAGCCCAAACUUCCGUGUAAAGCUCAGAUGGAAUUCCUAAAAAAACUGAGAAGAAACUGGAGGUCCAGCUUGCAUAGCAAUGUAGCCAGACCUCAGCCUCAUCACAUUAUGGGUAAAUGGUUUGGUUGUGGCACAGGAUCGUUUUGA